AGUAAUGCAUGGGGAUCUGCCUGAUGGCGGGGGAUAACUACUGGAAACGGUAGCUAAUACCGCAUAAUGUCUGCGGACCAAAGCGGGGGACCUCCGGGCCUCGCGCCAUCAGAUGAACCCAUAUGGGAUUAGCUUGUAGGUAAGGUAACGGCUUACCUAGGCGACGAUCCCUAGCUGGUCUGAGAGGAUGACCAGCCACACUGGAACUGAGACACGGUCCAG
Molecule: ribosomal RNA, 222 nt
Filed under: uncultured bacterium
Lineage: Bacteria
Description: partial 16S ribosomal RNA
Rfam family: Bacterial small subunit ribosomal RNA
Source: RNAcentral